AGCGAACGCUGGCGGCAGGCUUAACACAUGCGAGUCGAGCGGGCAUCCUUGUGGUGUCAGCGGCAGACGGGUGAGUAACGCGUGGGAACGUGCCCUUCGGUUCGGAAUACCCAGGGAAAACUGGGGUUAAAACGGAUUCGGUGCAGAGCCAGAAAGUUUAAUCUGCCGAAGGAUCGGCCCGCGUCUGAUUAGCUAGUUGGUGAGGUUAUGGCUCACCAAGGCGACGAUCAGUAGCUGGUCUGAGAGGAUGAUCAGCCACACUGGGACUGAGACACGGCCCAGACUCCUACGGGAGGCAGCAGUGGGGAAUAUUGGACAAUGGGGGCAACCCUGAUCCAGCCAUGCCGCGUGAGUGAUGACGGCCUUAGGGUUGUAAAGCUCUUUUCUCCGGGACGAUAAUGACGGUACCGGAGGAAUAAGCCCCGGCUAACUUCGUG
RNAcentral lists this ribosomal RNA (437 nucleotides) under uncultured bacterium. Its description in RNAcentral is "partial 16S ribosomal RNA". It matches the Rfam family "Bacterial small subunit ribosomal RNA", at positions 29 to 507 of the family's 1533-position model. The record is from RNAcentral.